GGGCGCACUGUCCCCCGCUCCAUUGCGGCCGAUAUAGCUCGGCCAUCUGCCCGUCUCCCCGCUCCCCUCUCUAUCCCACGCACUCCGGCCGGCUUCAGUUCACUCCAGUGCCUUCCAGACCCUUCCAGAGAGCUACCCGGGGAACAUAAUUAUGUCAUGCUUUUCGUGCUGUGGCGAGGAAGAUACUAGUCAAGUUAUUGAUAACAAAGGGGGUCCAUUUAAACCAAAUCAUCCCACAGGUACUGAUGGAGCUUAUCAUCCCAUGGAUCCUGCCCCCAAGUCUGUGAAGGUUCAGCCUAUUGCAGUCCCUACCAUAUCUGUAGAUGAGUUAAG
Molecule: unclassified non-coding RNA, 333 nt
Filed under: Hevea brasiliensis (rubber tree)
Lineage: Eukaryota; Viridiplantae; Streptophyta; Magnoliopsida; Malpighiales; Euphorbiaceae
Source: RNAcentral